GCCUGCUCUCCCAAAUCCUCCACGCUCUUCAUGAACACCUCCAUCUUCUUCCUGAUCUCCUCAAUCCCAAGUUUCACUGCCCCCACGUCCUUGAUGGCGAAUUCAGAAUCGUCCAGCAGCGAGGUAAUCCCCAUUUCCAGCUUGUCGAUGAGCACCCGAAUGCUAUCCAUGUCCUUUAUGGCGAUAAAGGUUCCUACUUGCAUCGAGCUCAGCACCUCCUUCUGCCCUUUCAAGGCGUUCUGGUAGUCGUUCAGCAACGAGUCGAUCCAUUUCCCCAUCGACCCGAUCGGGAUCGACGCCGCCGCAGCCAGCGCCGCAGCCACUGGCGGUGCAGCUACUGCGGCUGCCACCACGGAG
Molecule: long non-coding RNA, 357 nt
Filed under: Musa acuminata (dwarf banana)
Lineage: Eukaryota; Viridiplantae; Streptophyta; Magnoliopsida; Zingiberales; Musaceae
Description: long non-coding RNA (MACU_LNC010784)
Source: RNAcentral